Non-coding RNA from Rattus norvegicus (Norway rat), 1754 nucleotides. Lineage: Eukaryota; Metazoa; Chordata; Mammalia; Rodentia; Muridae. The record is from the annotation of a RefSeq genome assembly.
AAACAGCUAAGGUAAAAGCGCCAUGUGUCAUUUAAGAGAAAGAACUAAAACAAACAAAAGGGGGCAGUCCUUUCUCCACAUAGAACCAGCCAAGCAAGAGAGCUGUGCUGCGCUGUGUCUGCCUGACAGUACCCGCUGUGGUCAGCAGUGAGGUGUCCAUCUGCAUGGGCUGUGAGGCUCACAGACUGAGAAUUCAGCUGUGCUCAUGAAUUCUUUCCUCGUCUCUGCUUCAGGUCCUGCCUCCAGGUUCCUGUCCUAAGUCCUGACUUCAUUCCUCAACGGUGGACUGUGAGGUAGAGGUAGCAUCUGAAAUAAUCUUUCUUAACCAAAGUGGUUUUUGUCAGUGUUUCAUUACAGCAACCAAAACAAUCCAAACAGGGGUCUCAUAACAACAACAGCAACAACAACAACAACAACAACAACAACAACAACAGCAACAACAGCAACAACAACACUUCUGACAGAAAAGUGGUCUUUCAUCUGCAAGGACCCACCAAGGACUUGGUUCAAUUCAUGAGACUGGCAGAUCUUUCUACCUGUGGAAACUGAUAUAUAAUCCACCCAACCAUAGAGACCAUGUCAUCCUGAAAAGGAAGAAAUAAUGAUUCUAUGCAUGAUAUCUUCUACUUCAAGAGUUCCUCCACAACAGAGCUGCAGCCUUCCCAAGGCUCAACCAUGCUCCUGGCGCUCUUCCCAGUGCUGGGGAUAAACUUCCUCCUGAGAGAUGCCGAAGCUCAGUCAGUGACUCAACCUGACGUUCAUGUCACUGUCUCUGAAGAAUCCUCUCUGUGGCUGAGAUGCACCUAUUCCUCCUCUGUGUCACCUUACCUAUUCUGGUAUGUCCAGUACCCACAGCAGGGGCUGCAGCUGCUCCUCAAGUACUAUUCAGGAGACUCCGUGGUUCAAGGAGAGAAUGGCUUUGAGGCUGAGUUCAGCAAGAGCAACUCUUCCUUCCACCUGCGGAAAGCCUCUGUGCACUGGAGCGACUCGGCUGUGUACUUCUGUGCUCUGAGCGCACAGCGUCUGGGGCUAUAGGGGGAGCUAAACACAAACAUCCAUGGCUGUGGGUGCUCAGACACAAGAUCUCUCCUUGUGGUCUCUGAAGCAUCUCUUUGGACUUGGAGAGGAAAGAAGGAAAGUUGCGCUGUCCCAGCUGUCUUUCUGCAACUCAUUUCCAGCUAAACCAUCCGAGAAAGAGCUCAUUCUGUGGAUUGGAGGCGACUGUGUUGUUAUCCUGAAUGUUAUUUCCUGAGUGGACAUUGCUUGGAUAGUGACUAGACUAAGCCUAUGAUAGGAAAAACCAGAAGUUGGACUUUGAUUUUCUCACUUUAUCAUUUCAACAGAAAGUGAAAGGUGUACUCUACAGCUUUUGUCUUGGAAUUUUCUUCCUCUUCUCAAUCUUUUAUGCUAAUCUCCCUAUAAAUUAUUUUCCUACUAAAUAUACUCAUCAGAAUUGGUCAUAUUAUUUAAGUACUGUCGUCUUGGAAAUAAUUUGAUGCCUUGGUAGUCAAUAUAGGAUUUCAUCAGUGAUACAAAAGUUUUGAAAUCUGUCAUAAUUAUGUAAGUUCUACCCACCAUUAAAAAGAAAACAGGGGAAUAAGGAAUUCGAGCUCAUAGGUAUUUCUUUUCCAAAGAUUCAUCACAGUUGUAAGUGUACUAUCUUGUUUUUGUGGUCUUCUUCAAAUCUUUUCAUCUCCUUGAGACUCCGUGGUCUGAGUCCUUCUGCAUCUUUUAUAACUGCUCAUUGCUUUCAC